Molecule: ribosomal RNA, 492 nt
Filed under: uncultured bacterium
Lineage: Bacteria
Description: partial 16S ribosomal RNA
Rfam family: Bacterial small subunit ribosomal RNA
Source: RNAcentral
GAUGAACGCUGGCUACAGGCUUAACACAUGCAAGUCGAGGGGAAACGACAUCGAAAGCUUGCUUUUGAUGGGCGUCGACCGGCGCACGGGUGAGUAACGCGUAUCCAACCUGCCCAUCACUUGGGAAUAACCUUGCGAAAGUAAGACUAAUACCCAAUGAUAUCCCACGAAGGCAUCGGAAUGGGAUUAAAGAUUUAUCGGUGAUGGAUGGGGAUGCGUCUGAUUAGCUUGUUGGCGGGGUAACGGCCCACCAAGGCAACGAUCAGUAGGGGUUCUGAGAGGAAGGUCCCCCACAUUGGAACUGAGACACGGUCCAAACUCCUACGGGAGGCAGCAGUGAGGAAUAUUGGUCAAUGGGCGAAAGCCUGAACCAGCCAAGUAGCGUGCAGGAAGACGGCCCUAUGGGUUGUAAACUGCUUUUAUAAGGGAAUAAAGUGGGUCACGUGUGACUUUUUGCAUGUACCUUAUGAAUAAGAACCGGCUAAUUCCGUG